CGUAGGUGAACCUGCGGAGGGAUCAUUACUGAGUUUACGCUCUACAACCCUUUGUGAACAUACCUAUAACUGUUGCUUCGGCGGGUAGGGUCUCCGUGACCCUCCCGGCCUCCCGCCCCCGGGCGGGUCGGCGCCCGCCGGAGGAUAACCAAACUCUGAUUUAACGACGUUUCUUCUGAGUGGUACAAGCAAAUAAUCAAAACUUUUAACAACGGAUCUCUUGGUUCUGGCAUCGAUGAAGAACGCAGCGAAAUGCGAUAAGUAAUGUGAAUUGCAGAAUUCAGUGAAUCAUCGAAUCUUUGAACGCACAUUGCGCCCGCCAGCAUUCUGGCGGGCAUGCCUGUUCGAGCGUCAUUUCAACCCUCAAGCUCUGCUUGGUGUUGGGGCCCUACAGCUGAUGUAGGCCCUCAAAGGUAGUGGCGGACCCUCCCGGAGCCUCCUUUGCGUAGUAACUUUACGUCUCGCACUGGGAUCCGGAGGGACUCUUGCCGUAAAACCCCCAAUUCUCCAAAGGUUGACCUCGGAUCAGGUAGGAAUACCCGCUGAACUUAAGCAUAUCAAUAAGCGG
Molecule: ribosomal RNA, 568 nt
Filed under: Colletotrichum gloeosporioides
Lineage: Eukaryota; Fungi; Ascomycota; Sordariomycetes; Glomerellales; Glomerellaceae
Description: eukaryotic LSU rRNA
Rfam family: 5.8S ribosomal RNA (bases 201-354)
Source: RNAcentral